Non-coding RNA from Monodelphis domestica (gray short-tailed opossum), 5906 nucleotides. The record is from RefSeq and is a predicted model, not a curated record. Lineage: Eukaryota; Metazoa; Chordata; Mammalia; Didelphimorphia; Didelphidae.
UGGAAUUGUGUUUUAUGUGAUUUCACAUGGAUAAUUAACAUCAUAUUGCUUGCCUUCACCAGGGAGAGAGAGAAUUGGGAACUUUAAUUUUUGAAAGAAUGUUUAAAAAUCAAUAAAUUUUCAAGAAAGGCAUAAAAAUUUCAAAAAUAGAAACACAAGAAACAUUAUUUAUAUAUACUUAUUUUUUCCAGGUGAAGCCUUCUAUGGCUCAAGGAGGGGAGGGGAGAGAGUGAAAUUCCCUGGGAAUUUUAAUGUAAUCAACCAAAAAAUUAAUUAAUAAUAAUUUAAAAAAUUAAAAGGCUAUCAGAAAUCAUCUAGCCCAACUCCCUCAUUUAAUAGGAGAAGAAAUGGGAUCCCAGAGAGCUUAAGGGACUUGUUCACUGGGCCCAAAGGUACUUAAGUUGUAAAGCCAGGAAACAAGCUCAUGUUUGCUCUACAAAUCCAGCAUUCUUUACAUUAAACCAUAUUGCCAACUUCUAACCAUUCAUCACCUUCCCAUUACUUAUGGAAUGCUUCCAUGGCAUAUUAAAAAAAAGAAUAAAUUAGAUUUCCCUACAACUAACCCUCUUCCUUAACCCCUACAACUUCCCUCUUCACUUAGCCUAAAUGCCUCUCUUUCUUCAAAGUUUAGCUCAAAUCUACCCCACUUCGUAAAGUCUUCCCUAACCACAAAAGUACGAUAGAAUCUCUUCCUCCUCAGAACUCCUAGAGAAGUCAUUGUCUAUGCCAUCCAUGUAGCCAUAUAACCUAAUGCCUGCUUUUAUUGUUAAUUAUAUUUUUGUAUGUGUUUGUUUCCUCAACUAUAUAAUAAGUUCUUUGAGGGCAGAGAUUGCUUUAUACCUCUUUGUUCCCUGUCCCUUUCCUUUUAGUGCUUAAUAUGGUAUAUUGUACACAAAAGUCAUUCAAUACAAAUUUAUUAAUUGACUGAUUGAUUGCUCUGAGGUUUUUUAAAAAUUUUUUAUUUAAUAUUUUAAAUUUGGGUACCAUGACUUAGCUGCCUUAGUACUUUGGAUCUUCUCACCCUGGAGAUAUCCCUCCUCCAUGGCCUCUAUUUGAGAAGGGACCAGGGGCAGUUAUCCUUCCUUCCCAUCUGACUUUGCUUCUGACUUUCCAGAAAUUCUUUAACACCAUGUCCCAGGCAGGAUCUCUUCCCCACCCAAUUUCAGCUUCCUUUUGUAUUGUUUUCAUUCAGUAGAGUGUAAGGUCCAUUAGGGAAGGCAGGAACUAUCUUUCUUUUUUUCUGGUAUUUGUAUCUUUGGAGUUUGGCAUAGUAAGCUCUUAAUAAAUGCCUGUUUCCUCCUUUUUCCCUCCUUUGCAGUCCCAUGUAAAGUUCAAUCUAUCUUUCUUGGGAGAAAUACUGUCUUUUGAAAUCUCAUUGAGAAGUCACAGCACCAGAGAUGACUAUUCCUCUUAGGAAUAGAAGAAAAAGUCAGUAGUGAAAUAUGUUAAGAAAAGGCUGAUUGGUGUUUUAAGUGGUUUAUUUGUUUUUUUUCAUCCUUACACUUUUUUUUUAACCCUUACCUUCUGUCUUGGAGUCAAUACUAUGUAUUGGUUCCAAAGCAGAAGAGUGGUAAGGGCUAGGCAAUGAGGGUCAAGUGACUUGACCAGAGUCACACAGCUGGGAAGUGUCUGAGGCCAGAUUUAAAUCCAGCACCUCCCAUCUAUAGACCUGGCUCUCAGUCCAUUGAGCCACCCAGCUGCCCCCUUAAAUUCUUAUACUUCUGUCUUAGAAUCAACACCGAGGAUUUGUUCCAAGGCAGAAAAGCAGUAAGGGCUAGGUAAUUAGAGUUCAGUGACUUACCCAGAGUCACACAGCUAGGAAAUGUUAUAAGUGGAUUUAAAAAUAAUUUUUGUUCAUUUGUUUCCCAUUCUUCUUGACACCAUUUGGGGUUUUCUUGGCAAAGAUAUUGGACUGGUUUGCCAUUUCCUUUUCCAACUCACUUUAUAGAUGAGGAAACUAAGGCAAACAGGGCUAAAGUACCUUCUCAGGAUCAGACAGCUAGUAAGUUUCUGAGGUCAGAUUUGAACUUAGUUCUUCCUGAUUCUGAGCCAGGCACUCCAUCUACUGUACCACCUAGUUUCCACAGUCAAUCAAUAAAGGUCAACAUGUGACAGGUUGUUGUUAUCUGUCCUUUAAAAAAAACCAACACCUUACCUUCUAAGGCAGAAUAGUAGUAAAGGCAAUGCAAUUGGGGGAUGUGUCUUGUCCAGGGUCACACAGAAUUUUCUGAGGUCACAUUUGAACCCAGGACCUCACCCCCAUCUCCAGGUUUGGCUCUCUAUCCACUGAGUCACCUAACUGUCCCUUUGUCUUUUGUUUCAGAAGAGGAUCAAUGACAUGAAGAGGGUGAGAUAUCUUGACUUGCCAGUGCUGUGGGAGAGAGGAAUUUCAGAUCCAACUUUCUGUGAUUACAUCAUAUAAGAGGAAGUAUGUAAGAGAGUUAUUAAGGAUGUCAUCAGCAAUGCCUGACUGAUUAAAAAAAGAGAUGAGCCAGUCUCAGAGUGAGAGCAGGGAAUCACUGAUGGGAGAUCACAUGAUUUUUUGGUAUUCACGUAAUGUCAAGACACAGGAAGGCACACAGUAUAUUGGGUCAACUCUCUGAUGGAUUUAUGGGAAGACAAAGGAAAUCUUGAAUAAUCAUGCAAGACAUCCAGUUGGAAGAGAUGUUGAAGCAGCAUUUAGGAGGGGAAUGAUAAAGAAGGAAAUGUAGGCAGUGUAAAGACAAAAGGUCUCCAUGGUCUAUUAAGAAAUUAAAAAGAGGGCAGCUAAGUGGUCAGUGGAUAGAGUCAAGCCUAGAGAUGAGGGAUUCUGGGUUCAAAUCUGGUCUCAGAUAUUUUCUAGCUAUGUGACCCUGGGCAAGUUAUUUAACCCCCAUUGCCUAAGUCUUACCCUCUUCUGGCUUGGAACCAAUACAUAGUUAUUGAUUCUAAGAUAAAAGGUAAGGGUUUGUUUUUUAAAUUUUUUAAAAAUCUUAACAUAACUUGUCCAUUUUUUAUCUAAUUAUUGCCUUUCCAGUUUUAUGAAUGAACGCUUUGGGGAUGACUUUGACUAGUUGGGUUUCUCACCAAGCUUUUUUAAACUGAUUUUUUAUUCCAUUGUUUUUUCUGAAGGGCUGGCACUCAAUCUUCCACUUUACCUCUCUGGGAAACGUUAUCCCUAAGUUUAUGUUUUAAACCAAUACAGCCCUUUGUUGUAAUAUCUUUCUGCUUGGCUAACAAGACAAAUAUUUGUUAAAGUGCAUUUUUAGGCUCUGAGAGUCUCCUACUUAAGAAAAUUGGUUUCCAUUGAUCCAUACUGGCUAUCUUGCCAUCUUCCCCAUCACUUCCCAGAGACAGAGACACACAGAGAGAGGAGGCAAGCACAGGUAGAGCUAUUGGCCUUGGCAAAGAGAAGGUUCAUCACUUCCUCAGAGGCAGGAGUAAUGGAGGAGAAAAGUGGUAAAGAUGGAGAAGGAUUUUGAGACAUUCAAUAGACUAUGGGAAUGAGGGAGUUCACAGUUAAUAUCUCUAUUUUCCCAUUAAAGUAAGAAGCAAUGUCAUUUCCUGAAAGAAGGGAGGACAGGGGAGCUUUUGGAGAUUUGAAUAAAGGAGAGAAGGUUUGGAGCAGAUGUUAAAGUUAACAGGAUAUGAUCAGUCAGAGGCUAAAACAAUAGGCUGAACUAGGAUGAAAUGUAAUCUAUAUAAAUGUAAAAUCUUAUAUUGGGAUUCAAAAAAAUAAUUUUUACAAGUACAAGAUGUAAGAGGCAUGGUGAGAAAAUCAUUUGUCUGAAGGCCUGAGAGUCCUUGUGCAAGUUUAAUAUGAAUUAGAAGUAUAAUAUGAGAACCCAGAAUUAAUUUGCCAAACUAAUGAGAUGCUUGUGGCUAAAUAGAGAUACAGUUUUCAGAAACAAGGAGGUAACCAUCUUACUGUAUUCUGUCAUGAUCAGACUACAUCUGAAGGAUUUUGUUCAGUUCUAGGGGCCCCAUUUCAAGAAAGCUACUGAUAAGCUGGUGAGCAUCCAGAGCAGAGCAAAGAACCUAGAACUUGGGCCAUAGAAACACUGGUUGGAAGUGAGAAUGUUUAUCCUAAUCAAGAGAAAACUUAGGGGGACAUCUGAGGGAUGCCCUCAAGGAUUGGAAGGAUGAUUAGACUUGUUCUGUUGGAUCCCAGAAUAGUAUAGUACUAGGAAGAAUUAAUGGCAUUUGCCUCAAUUUAAAGAAGAACUUAAUAAUUAAAACUAUUUAAAAGCAAAAUAUGUUGCCUCUGGAGUUGAUGGGUUUCUCCUCUUACCUAUGAGGAUCAAAUGAGACUUUUCAAGUGUAAAAGUAUCAGCCCGGUGUUUUGGCAAGGAAUAGGUGGUAGAUUAAUUUUUGUUUUUAAACCCUUACCUUCUGGCUUAGAAUCAGUUUCUAGGCAGAAGAGCAGUAAGGGCUAAGAGAGGAGGGGGUUAAGAGACUUUCCCAGAGUCACACAACUAAGAAGUGUCUGGGGUCACUUUUGAAUCCAGGUCUUCCUGUCUCUGAACCACUUAGCUGCACUCUGCUUUAUAAAUUCUUAUUCCCUUUUCCCCCUUAUACAAAACGUGGGUGACCAAUCCAGGGAAGUGGUGGAAGGCUGGUCUACACUCAAACACUCCAUCUUCCCUGUAUAAUUGAAAAUAUGGUACCCUAAAAAAGAACUACAUUUCCUAGGAGUCCACUGACUUCCUGUCAUUACGUAUUUCCUGUAGAUAGGGGAUAUUAGGUGGGGACUUGGAAGGUCCCACAUUUUUACUUCCGGUCUUGGUGGUGGUAAGGUGGGUGUUUGAACAGGCUUAUCAGGCAUGGGCACAUACAUGGUCUUUAUUUUGUAUCUUCUUUAUUCCUUGAUUUCUAAUGAUCAUUAAUAAACCUCUAAAACUAUAAUAUUUUCAUUAUUAAGAUAUAAUUUUUACACCCCAUGGCUGUGGUCUGUGUUCAAAGCUAUAGGCACUAACACUUUUUAUUGUAGUAUUUGUGUAUUUUACCAUUUAACACAUAAAACGGAACUACCAUAUUUAUUAGUUUCCUAUCUUUUUUAAUAUCGCUGAUGUUUUGGAGUGUUUUGCCUCUUACUCCAUUUUCUCUAUAAGCUUUUGUAUUUUUAUUGUAGUUUUUCAAAGCAUGAUGAUUUAGGAGCAGAUAUGUUGUAUUAUAGCAGAAUUGCCUGAAUUAGUUAGACUCAAUGGGCUCUACAGUCUUCCAAUUCUGAAACUUGAUGCUUCUGUAAUUUAUCUAGGCAUUUCUUGUUAAACAUGUAUAGUCUCUUGGGAGAAAUUAAAUUCAAACUGGCAAAUAUUAUUAAAUGCCUACUUUGUGUAAAUUACUGUGCUAAGAACCGGGGAUAAAAGAACAAAAUUUAAAAUAUGCUGUCUUCAAGGAGCUUAUAGUACCAAAAUAAAGGCUCCAUAUAUCAUCUAACUAUUGUAUCAUUGUUAAACUCACAGCAAAAGUUGGAUUAAUAAUGCAUGACAUGAACCCUCUGGUAGGGUAAUAUCCUUCUUGCCACGGCAAAGGAUGACCUCAAUAAAUUCCAGUCAAGUAUUCUUUUACUCCUUGGUCUAGUCUAAUCCUACAAAUACAUAUAUGCAACGAAUAGUACCUUUCAUGCUAUCGAUACCACUUGAGAUUUUUAUUACUUUGUUGUUUAGUUGUUUUUCAGAUAUUUCCAACUCUUUAUGGCUCCAUUUGGGAUUUUCUUCUCAAAGAUGCUGGAGUGGUUUGCCAUUUCCUUCUCCAGCUCAUCUUACAGAUGAGGAAAUAGAGGUAAACAGGGUUAAGUGAUUUGCUCAGGAUCACAUAGCUAGUAUUUGAGGACACAUUUGAACCCAGGACUUUCUGUUUUUAGGUCCAGCUUUCUAUCCACAACCAAGGAAUAUUUCUAACAUUUUUUUAAAAAUGUACAAAAC